UCUUAGCAUAUACUCUAGUCAGUCCUGCAGUGACUUCAGUCGUAAAGGAGGGUAAGUUCCUCACGCCCCACAAUAACUGGCUAUCAACUGGAACAGAUAUCUAGGGUGGCGAGAAUGUUGGCUCUUCUCUGUACGGCGGCAGUCAUCACGAGCGCCAUCGCCAACCCUCCAAUUGCAACACCCAAGUCGCUCCGGCCCAACCCUCCUCCUACAACUACAACUACAACUACUAUUACUACU
Haliotis rubra (blacklip abalone) is the source of this 240-nucleotide long non-coding RNA. RefSeq lists it as uncharacterized. NCBI's taxonomy places the organism in Eukaryota, Metazoa, Mollusca, Gastropoda, Lepetellida, Haliotidae. The record is from RefSeq and is a predicted model, not a curated record. The transcript is spliced from 3 exons.